ACUGCACAUUUAAAAGAAGCAACAAGAGGAGGAAGAAGGAGUGAGACAGGAAGGGGAAGAAAGAGGUUGGAGCAGGGUCGACAGAGGAAAGACUGCAUACUUUGCCAGGAUGAGAGGGGAUGGCAGGGUUCGGCAGGUUCUGGCCAGAACGGGGAAGAAUCUGCGGCUUGGUCGAGAGCGACCGGGUAGACGCACGCAGGCUGGGAAGGAACCCCCGGACCACGCAGUAGACCCCGCAGGCUACCGGAACAAAACCCAAGACGUCCACAACAGGCAGGGGCAGAGGAAACUCUGCCGCCCAAGAGGGCGAUUUGGACCCAGAGACCUGCGGCGACCCCCAGAAGCGACCAGGAGGCGGAGCGGGACGGGUACAGCCACGUGGGUCCCGCGAGUGACCGGAAACUGGCAAGGAGAGUGGGCGUACCCAAGACGUUGACGCGGAACUACAGCAAAGGCCUGCCUUGCGUGAGGACGCUGUGGAAGUGGGCGGAGCCGGUAUAUAUAACCAAACGCCUGUUGUGACUGUAACCUCGCCCAUUACAUUAUUCAUAUUUGGUAUUUUAGUGUCAACAACGUGACUGGUGUUUUUAAUUGUAUUUUAAUAAAUUGUGAACCAGUUAA
Molecule: long non-coding RNA, 621 nt
Organism: Nerophis ophidion (straightnose pipefish)
Lineage: Eukaryota; Metazoa; Chordata; Actinopteri; Syngnathiformes; Syngnathidae
Exons: 2
Source: RefSeq, a predicted model, not a curated record